RNAcentral lists this ribosomal RNA (497 nucleotides) under uncultured bacterium. RNAcentral describes it as "partial 16S ribosomal RNA". It matches the Rfam family "Bacterial small subunit ribosomal RNA", at positions 28 to 507 of the family's 1533-position model. The record is from RNAcentral.
GAUGAACGCUGGCGGCGUGCCUAAUACAUGCAAGUCGAGCGAACAGACGAGGAUCUUGCUCCUCUGACGUUAGCGGCGGACGGGUGAGUAACACGUGGAUAACCUACCUAUAAGACUGGGAUAACUUCGGGAAACCGGAUCUAAUACCGGAUAAUAUAUUGAACCGCAUGGUUCAUUAGUGAAAGACGGUUUUGCUGUCACUUAUAGAUGUUUCCUCGCCGCAUUAGCUAGUUGGUAAGGUAACGGCUUACCAAGGCAACGAUGCGUAGCCGACCUGAGAGGGUGAUCGGCCACACUGGAACUGAGACACGGUCCAGACUCCUACGGGAGGCAGCAGUAGGGAAUCUUCCGCAAUGGGCGAAAGCCUGACGGAGCAACGCCGCGUGAGUGAUGAAGGUCUUCGGAUCGUAAAACUCUGUUAUUAGGGAAGAACAAAUGUGUAAGUAACUAUGCACGUCUUGACGGUACCUAAUCAGAAAGCAACGGCUAACUACGUG